GAUGAACGCUAGCGGCAGGCUUAACACAUGCAAGUCGAGCGCCCAGCAAUGGGAGCGGCGCACGGGUGAGUAACACGUGGGAACGUGCCCUAUGGUUCGGAAUAACGCAGGGAAACUUGCGCUAAUACCGGAUAAGCCCUUACGGGGAAAGAUUUAUCGCCAUUGGAGCGGCCCGCGUUGGAUUAGCUAGUUGGUGGGUAAAAGCCUACCAAGGCAACGAUCCAUAGCUGGUCNGAGAGGACGACCAGCCACACUGGGACUGAGACACGGCCCAGACUCCUACGGGAGGCAGCAGUGGGGAAUCUUGGACAAUGGGGGAAACCCUGAUCCAGCCAUGCCGCGUGAGUGAUGAAGGCCCUAGGUUGUAAAACUCUUUCGGCGGGACGAUAAUGACGGUACCCGCAGAAGAAGCUCCGG
RNAcentral lists this ribosomal RNA (417 nucleotides) under uncultured bacterium. RNAcentral describes it as "bacterial SSU rRNA". It matches the Rfam family "Bacterial small subunit ribosomal RNA", at positions 28 to 496 of the family's 1533-position model. The record is from RNAcentral.